This 73-nucleotide transfer RNA is filed under the name Ornithorhynchus anatinus (platypus). RNAcentral's name for it is "tRNA-Arg (ACG) (tRNA-Arg-ACG-5-1)". It matches the Rfam family "tRNA". Rfam says of the family: Transfer RNA (tRNA) molecules are approximately 80 nucleotides in length. Their secondary structure includes four short double-helical elements and three loops (D, anti-codon, and T loops). The record is from RNAcentral. Lineage: Eukaryota; Metazoa; Chordata; Mammalia; Monotremata; Ornithorhynchidae.
GGGCCAGUGGCGCAAUGGAUAGCGUGUCUGAUUACGGAUCAGAAGAUUCCAGGUUAGACUCCUGGCUGGCUCG